RNAcentral lists this ribosomal RNA (2930 nucleotides) under Escherichia coli. RNAcentral describes it as "23S ribosomal RNA". It matches the Rfam family "Bacterial large subunit ribosomal RNA". The record is from RNAcentral. Lineage: Bacteria; Pseudomonadati; Pseudomonadota; Gammaproteobacteria; Enterobacterales; Enterobacteriaceae.
GGGUUGUGAGGUUAAGCGACUAAGCGUACACGGUGGAUGCCCUGGCAGUCAGAGGCGAUGAAGGACGUGCUAAUCUGCGAUAAGCGUCGGUAAGGUGAUAUGAACCGUUAUAACCGGCGAUUUCCGAAUGGGGAAACCCAGUGUGAUUCGUCACACUAUCAUUAACUGAAUCCAUAGGUUAAUGAGGCGAACCGGGGGAACUGAAACAUCUAAGUACCCCGAGGAAAAGAAAUCAACCGAGAUUCCCCCAGUAGCGGCGAGCGAACGGGGAGCAGCCCAGAGCCUGAAUCAGUGUGUGUGUUAGUGGAAGCGUCUGGAAAGGCGCGCGAUACAGGGUGACAGCCCCGUACACAAAAAUGCACAUGCUGUGAGCUCGAUGAGUAGGGCGGGACACGUGGUAUCCUGUCUGAAUAUGGGGGGACCAUCCUCCAAGGCUAAAUACUCCUGACUGACCGAUAGUGAACCAGUACCGUGAGGGAAAGGCGAAAAGAACCCCGGCGAGGGGAGUGAAAAAGAACCUGAAACCGUGUACGUACAAGCAGUGGGAGCACGCUUAGGCGUGUGACUGCGUACCUUUUGUAUAAUGGGUCAGCGACUUAUAUUCUGUAGCAAGGUUAACCGAAUAGGGGAGCCGAAGGGAAACCGAGUCUUAACUGGGCGUUAAGUUGCAGGGUAUAGACCCGAAACCCGGUGAUCUAGCCAUGGGCAGGUUGAAGGUUGGGUAACACUAACUGGAGGACCGAACCGACUAAUGUUGAAAAAUUAGCGGAUGACUUGUGGCUGGGGGUGAAAGGCCAAUCAAACCGGGAGAUAGCUGGUUCUCCCCGAAAGCUAUUUAGGUAGCGCCUCGUGAAUUCAUCUCCGGGGGUAGAGCACUGUUUCGGCAAGGGGGUCAUCCCGACUUACCAACCCGAUGCAAACUGCGAAUACCGGAGAAUGUUAUCACGGGAGACACACGGCGGGUGCUAACGUCCGUCGUGAAGAGGGAAACAACCCAGACCGCCAGCUAAGGUCCCAAAGUCAUGGUUAAGUGGGAAACGAUGUGGGAAGGCCCAGACAGCCAGGAUGUUGGCUUAGAAGCAGCCAUCAUUUAAAGAAAGCGUAAUAGCUCACUGGUCGAGUCGGCCUGCGCGGAAGAUGUAACGGGGCUAAACCAUGCACCGAAGCUGCGGCAGCGACACUGUGUGUUGUUGGGUAGGGGAGCGUUCUGUAAGCCUGCGAAGGUGUGCUGUGAGGCAUGCUGGAGGUAUCAGAAGUGCGAAUGCUGACAUAAGUAACGAUAAAGCGGGUGAAAAGCCCGCUCGCCGGAAGACCAAGGGUUCCUGUCCAACGUUAAUCGGGGCAGGGUGAGUCGACCCCUAAGGCGAGGCCGAAAGGCGUAGUCGAUGGGAAACAGGUUAAUAUUCCUGUACUUGGUGUUACUGCGAAGGGGGGACGGAGAAGGCUAUGUUGGCCGGGCGACGGUUGUCCCGGUUUAAGCGUGUAGGCUGGUUUUCCAGGCAAAUCCGGAAAAUCAAGGCCGAGGCGUGAUGACGAGGCACUACGGUGCUGAAGCAACAAAUGCCCUGCUUCCAGGAAAAGCCUCUAAGCAUCAGGUAACAUCAAAUCGUACCCCAAACCGACACAGGUGGUCAGGUAGAGAAUACCAAGGCGCUUGAGAGAACUCGGGUGAAGGAACUAGGCAAAAUGGUGCCGUAACUUCGGGAGAAGGCACGCUGAUACGUAGGUGAAGUCCCUCGCGGAUGGAGCUGAAAUCAGUCGAAGAUACCAGCUGGCUGCAACUGUUUAUUAAAAACACAGCACUGUGCAAACACGAAAGUGGACGUAUACGGUGUGACGCCUGCCCGGUGCCGGAAGGUUAAUUGAUGGGGUCAGCGCAAGCGAAGCUCUUGAUCGAAGCCCCGGUAAACGGCGGCCGUAACUAUAACGGUCCUAAGGUAGCGAAAUUCCUUGUCGGGUAAGUUCCGACCUGCACGAAUGGCGUAAUGAUGGCCAGGCUGUCUCCACCCGAGACUCAGUGAAAUUGAACUCGCUGUGAAGAUGCAGUGUACCCGCGGCAAGACGGAAAGACCCCGUGAACCUUUACUAUAGCUUGACACUGAACAUUGAGCCUUGAUGUGUAGGAUAGGUGGGAGGCUUUGAAGUGUGGACGCCAGUCUGCAUGGAGCCGACCUUGAAAUACCACCCUUUAAUGUUUGAUGUUCUAACGUGGACCCGUAAUCCGGGUUGCGGACAGUGUCUGGUGGGUAGUUUGACUGGGGCGGUCUCCUCCUAAAGAGUAACGGAGGAGCACGAAGGUUGGCUAAUCCUGGUCGGACAUCAGGAGGUUAGUGCAAUGGCAUAAGCCAGCUUGACUGCGAGCGUGACGGCGCGAGCAGGUGCGAAAGCAGGUCAUAGUGAUCCGGUGGUUCUGAAUGGAAGGGCCAUCGCUCAACGGAUAAAAGGUACUCCGGGGAUAACAGGCUGAUACCGCCCAAGAGUUCAUAUCGACGGCGGUGUUUGGCACCUCGAUGUCGGCUCAUCACAUCCUGGGGCUGAAGUAGGUCCCAAGGGUAUGGCUGUUCGCCAUUUAAAGUGGUACGCGAGCUGGGUUUAGAACGUCGUGAGACAGUUCGGUCCCUAUCUGCCGUGGGCGCUGGAGAACUGAGGGGGGCUGCUCCUAGUACGAGAGGACCGGAGUGGACGCAUCACUGGUGUUCGGGUUGUCAUGCCAAUGGCACUGCCCGGUAGCUAAAUGCGGAAGAGAUAAGUGCUGAAAGCAUCUAAGCACGAAACUUGCCCCGAGAUGAGUUCUCCCUGACUCCUUGAGAGUCCUGAAGGAACGUUGAAGACGACGACGUUGAUAGGCCGGGUGUGUAAGCGCAGCGAUGCGUUGAGCUAACCGGUACUAAUGAACCGUGAGGCUUAACCUUACAACGCCGAAGGUGUUU